Molecule: long non-coding RNA, 1762 nt
Filed under: Vitis vinifera (wine grape)
Lineage: Eukaryota; Viridiplantae; Streptophyta; Magnoliopsida; Vitales; Vitaceae
Description: long non-coding RNA (VVIN_LNC002853)
Source: RNAcentral
AGUGCCAAAAACCUACCCUUUUCAGGCACCCGAGUUCCCAUAGAUGAAGUGCGUUCUUCAAAUCAAGUUCCCAUAGAUGAAAUGAAUUCUUCAAAUCCAGUGAAUCUAUUCAGAUCCAUGUCUUCUGAUCAGGUAUGAAUUGAACUCCAAUCCACUUCAUCCUGUGAAAACCCAGAACCCAAGGUAACCGCUCUCUCUUGGGUUCUCUGUUUGGGUUUCUAGGUUGCUUUCGCCUUUCCUGUUUCUUAAAUUUCGCCAAAAUUUUUGUUGAACAUAUUACCUAUCACAUAUCCUUACAUCACCUAAAUUGGAGUUAGCCAUAUCAAACAUUUGGUAUCAUCUCUGUGCUUCCAUUUGAUUACAGAAACAAGAAUUGAUUGAAAAAAAUGGGGAUAUUACAUGUUUGAAGAAUUGCCUCUAAGAAACAGUGUCUGCAUAUAUGCAUGACUUAGUUGGGGGAAUGGGUCUGCUGUUGUGUAUUGCAUAUAUGUAUGUUGUUGCUGCCUCUGAGUGCUUGGUUAUUAUUUUGUAUCAUUGUUGGUGGCAUCAAUUUUUGGAUGGUUUAACAUUGGAUUGUUAGAAGUAACAGUUUCUACUCUCCUGAUUAUAAAUGUUACCAUAAAAACAAAAUUGAGAUUCCUGUUGUGUUACAGACCCAGUAGAUUAAAUAAUAAAACGAACUGAAAAUAGUCAAUAAAUUUGGUAGCAAGCUGAGAUGGGACCCUUCCAUAUAUCUUCAAAUGUGAAAUUAAUCACAUGACACUAAAUGAGAAACUUGACUAGAAGUUGUCAUUCAUCUGUAUUAUUGUUAUUUUACUGAAAUAAAGACAAGUUAUUCUCUUGAUUGUGAAAAUUGUUUUUGCACUACUGUUUUAUUGUCCAAAGAUUUUGAUAAAUGCUUAGAUAUGCUAUAUUCUAUCAAUUUCAAUUGUCUUCUAUUGUCAAGCCUUUCUGGUAUCUAAGGAUAAAUCUGUCCUACCUUUUGGUUUGUGUGGGGCUUGAAGGUGGGAUAUAUUGUAAUUGGGGUUGUGUUUUCAAAUGCGAUGAGCUGCAAUUGCUCCUGAAGUUGUCACUAUUGAUUCGAUGACACAUCCCUAGUUCAACACAACAACUUCAAGUAUCAGAAUCAUACAGAAAUACCCAACAUUUGGAUUGAAGCAAUAAUAGUAAUUUCUAUUAUCAAAAUGAUCAAAAUCAACCCCUUUACCUGAUAGAUUGAUCUUGCCCCACCAAAGAUAAAGUCAAUGCUUCCUUGGAUGUAACACUGGUUAAAGUAGUGUGUUCCAAACAAAUCCAUGAGGGGGUCCUGUGCCCCCAAGAGCCUGACAUUGUAGAACAUGGCUUUAUCACCGUUUAUACUCAGUGUCAUUGCUUGCAUUCCAGGCACUCUAGGCCUUGCAUCCACUGUUUUCAUUGAUUUCUCUGAUUAUCUGCUUUUUUACGGCUACCGAACAGAGCACCGAGUUCAAUUUGAUUGCCUCAGGUGCUUAAGGUGGUUUUGUAUAGAUAGCAUCAUGGGGUUGUGGAGUGGCACUCUGUAUAGUUGCUAAUUUUUGGGGUGUUGGAUUAAUAAUAUGACUUCUCGGGAAUGUUUCUGUUACUUAAAGAAACCUUUUGUUGAUUUUGAGAAUCUCCUUUGAUUUUUGUAGUCGUUUUUGGUUGAUGGCAUAGAGAUCACAGUAAAUGAUUACAAUUUUCUGGUCUAUUAUUUUGUAUUGUGAAAUUGAAAGUUUGGUAAUAAAAACCUUUUUCCAAUUUGUAG